Molecule: ribosomal RNA, 455 nt
Filed under: uncultured bacterium
Lineage: Bacteria
Description: bacterial SSU rRNA
Rfam family: Bacterial small subunit ribosomal RNA
Source: RNAcentral
UACGGGAGGCAGCAGUGGGGAAUAUUGCACAAUGGGCGAAAGCCUGAUGCAGCUAUGCCGCGUGUAUGAAGAAGGCCUUAGGGUUGUAAAGUACUUUCAUCGGGGAGGAAAAACAAAACUAAUAAUUUUAUUUCUUGACGUUACCCGAAAAAGAAGCACCGGCUAACUCCGUGCCAGCAGCCGCGGUAAUACGGAGGGUGCUAGCGUUAAUCAGAAUUACUGGGCGUAAAGAGCACGUAGGUGGUUUUUUAAGUCAGAUGUGAAAUCCCUGGGCUUAACCUAGGAACUGCAUUUUGAAACUGAAAUACUAGAGUAUCGUAGAGGGAGGUAGAAUUCUAGGUGUAGCGGUGAAAUGCGUAGAUAUCUGGAGGAAUACCUGUGGCGAAAGCGGCCUCCUAAACGAAUACUGACACUGAGGUGCGAAAGCGUGGGGAGCAAAACAGGGAUUAGAUACC